UUGGGCGUAAGAGCUCGUAGGCGGUUUGUCGCGUCUGCUGUGAAAACUGGAGGCUCAACCUCCAGCCUGCAGUGGGUACGGGCAAACUAGAGUGCGGUAGGGGAGAUUGGAAUUCCUGGUGUAGCGGUGGAAUGCGCAGAUAUCAGGAGGAACACCGAUGGCGAAGGCAGAUCUCUGGGCCGUAACUGACGCUGAGGAGCGAAAGCAUGGGGAGCGAACAGGAUUAGAUACCCUGGUAGUCCAUGCCGUAAACGUUGGGCGCUAGAUGUGGGGACCAUUCCACGGUUUCCGUGUCGCAGCUAACGCAUUAAGCGCCCCGCCUGGGGAGUACGGCCGCAAGGCUAAAACUCAAAGGAAUUGACGGGGGCCCGCACAAGCGGCGGAGCAUGCGGAUUAAUUCGAUGCAACGCGAAGAACCUUACCAAGGCUUGACAUUUACGAGAACGCUGCAGAAAUGCAGAACUCUUUGGACACUCGUAAACAGGUGGUGCAUGGUUGUCGUCAGCUCGUGUCGUGAGAUGUUGGGUUAAGUCCCGCAACGAGCGCAACCCUCGUUCUAUGUUGCCAGCGCGUUAUGGCGGGAACUCAUAGGAGACUGCCGGGGUCAACUCGGAGGAAGGUGGGGAUGAC
RNAcentral lists this ribosomal RNA (630 nucleotides) under uncultured bacterium. RNAcentral's name for it is "bacterial SSU rRNA". It matches the Rfam family "Bacterial small subunit ribosomal RNA", at positions 554 to 1183 of the family's 1533-position model. The record is from RNAcentral.